UAUCGAGUGUGGCCUAAAUGGUCACAUGGCACGAUAUUGCACUACACCUGCUUCGAGGUUGUGCCCUAUCUGCCAGCAACCUGGACAUUGGAAAUCACAAUGCCCCCGUGCAGGCUUGUCCUCUAUGCCAAGCCACGGAGGUCCGGCCUCAUCACCAUCAGCAAGUGAAACUGCCAGCCUUCAAAUGUCUCAGCCUUGCAGCAGAUUGAUGCUGCCCAAACGUGGUAUAUCCCAAAACCCUCUCCUAGCCUAGGGUCUGGUACAAGUGGCGGGUAAGUCCAUUACUUUUAUUUUCACUCGGGCCUUAAGUUUCCCUCACCAAGGACACUUAAAACUCUGCCACUGUCCUACAUUCUUGUAGAACAUUUUUUUCUCUUAUUCUUUCUUAGCGAUACUGGCUUGCCCAGCACAUUUACUGGGUGGAGAUAUUCUUAGCCGCUUCCCCACAGCUUGGAGCCCCUUUCAACCCGGCCCAUCUCCAUGAUUCUAUUUUACAGAUUCACUCAUCCUGCCAGACGUGUGCCCAGGCCAACCCACAAGGAGCUCUCCACAUACACAAGCUUCGUGGACACCAACUGGACAAAGAUUGGAUGGAUAGAAGUGUUUCCAGUCUCCAGGGAAACAGCAAAUGCGGUGGCUCAGACUCAUGGAGCUCGUGUCAGAAGCUCACAUCUCCUGGACAAUGGGAUUCAUCAAACAACAACCUACCAAGCUCUCCAUUGAACUAAGCCACCUGCCUUCUCAUCUCUUCCAAGGAACAGCUGCCUGCCUUCUCCGGGAUGACAGUUCAUGGGAUGCCUUUCCAGCCACACCUCGCUAAACGUGGACACCUGGCUCUCCCCUUCCCCAAGCUGCCCCGUACCCACAGGAAGUAGCCAGAUUUGAGUCUACACCCUUUUUCAAGAGAGCCUAAGUGUUUGUCAUAAAUACCAUUCCAAGUUUCUGUCACCCCUAUAGCCAAAGAGUCUAGAAUGUUAGGCUGGGAGCCUAGGCCCCAGUCCCUGGCAUCUAUCUCAGCCCCCAGGCAUGGUCUGGACUUCAAAUCCCAGCAGGCCAGUCAUGACCCCUCCCUGAGGGUGGGGUCAGGACCACUCCCCAGGUACUUAAGUGAUCCCCCAAAAGAAGAACACGUGGUCCCCCUUUCUUCCUCCCAGGGGUUGCUUUUCUGCGGCUUCCCGUUUCCCCCUCGGGGCCACCCGAGAGCGCAGAUCUUCCAUUAAACCUGGAUAUUUCUUUAUUCGGUUUGUUUUGA
Molecule: long non-coding RNA, 1252 nt
Organism: Alexandromys fortis (reed vole)
Lineage: Eukaryota; Metazoa; Chordata; Mammalia; Rodentia; Cricetidae
Exons: 3
Source: RefSeq, a predicted model, not a curated record